Molecule: ribosomal RNA, 1206 nt
Filed under: metagenome
Description: bacterial LSU rRNA
Rfam family: Bacterial large subunit ribosomal RNA
Source: RNAcentral
CCAUAAGGAGCGCCCUAGUAGGGUGAUGCACUUUACGUGCGGAGCCCGAGAGGGCCGCAGUGAAUAGGUUCAACCGACUGUUUACCAAAAACACAGGUCUCUGCUAAGUCGUAAGACGACGUAUAGGGGCUGACGCCUGCCCGGUGCCGGAAGGUUACGUGGAGGUGUUAGGCGUAAGCCGAAGCACUGAAACUAAGCCCCGGUAAACGGCGGCGGUAACUAUAACCGUCCUAAGGUAGCGAAAUUCCUUGUCGGGUAAGUUCCGACCUGCACGAAUGGCGUAACGAGUUGAACGCUGUCUCAACGAUGGGCUCGGUGAAAUUGCAGUCUCGGCGAAGAUGCCGAGUACCCGUGGCUAGACGGAAAGACCCCGUGAACCUUUACUACAACCUGGUAUUGGAGUGCGGUGCAUCUCGCACAGGAUAGGAGGGAGUCUUUGAAGCGUGGGCUGCGGCUUGCGUGGAGACAACCUUGAGAUACCUCCCUUGAUGUAUUGUGCUUCUAACACUGCGCCGUUAUCCGGGCAGUGAACAGUGCCAGGCGGGUAGUUUGACUGGGGCGGUCGCCUCCCAAAAUGUAACGGAGGCGCGCAAAGGUUCCCUCAGUACGGUUGGAAAUCGUACGUAGAGUGCAAAAGCAGUAAGGGAGCUUGACUGUGAGACCGACAGGUCGAGCAGGUGCGAAAGCAGGCUUUAGUGAUCCGGCAGUAGCAAGUGGAAGUGCUGUCGCUCAACGGAUAAAAGGUACUCCGGGGAUAACAGGCUUAUCGAGUCCAAGAGUCCACAUCGACGACUCGGUUUGGCACCUCGAUGUCGGCUCGUCGCAUCCUGGGGCUGAAGUAGGUCCCAAGGGUUGGGCUGUUCGCCCAUUAAAGCGGUACGCGAGCUGGGUUCAGAACGUCGUGAGACAGUUCGGUCCCUAUCUGCCAUGGGCGUUGGAGAAUUGAAAGGAUUCGUCCCUAGUACGAGAGGACCGGGAUGAACGCACCUCUGGUGUAUCUGUUGUCCUGCCAAGGGCAUCGCAGGUUAGCUACGUGCGGACCAGAUAACCGCUGAAGGCAUCUAAGCGGGAAGCUGACCUUGAGAUGAAUUCUCCCACCUCCUUGAGAGGGUAAGACCCCUGGUAGACCACCAGGUUGAUAGGCCGGAUGUGGAAGGACAGUAAUGUCCGUAGCAGACCGGUACUAAUGGGUCGAGGGCUUGACGG